AUGUGUUUUUGUCUUUGUUCUAGAAAAAAAAACACUUUAGAAAGUUCUGAUGACGAAACAGACAUUGAGAUGAAGCGACAAUAUGAAAAAGCAAAAAGACAAAAAAAAGUUGCAAAAGAGAGGAUCCUCACUCAGUUGAAGGAUACACUGAGGAAACCACUCCACUCCACUCCAUGCAGAACCAAUCCAUUACAUAGUGAGGAGGAAGUUGAAUCCGAAACGGUGGACACAAACGUGGAUUUGUUCAAUUACCCAGGGAAUUCUCAAUCAACCGUAUGUCGUUUCAAACCCUAAGCAAUGAACACAAACUUUUGGACUGCGUAGUCAACCUAAUGUAUUUUUAAAAGUAAUGUUUAGGCAGAUAAUACAAAUUAUA
Cyprinus carpio carpio is the source of this 376-nucleotide long non-coding RNA. Lineage: Eukaryota; Metazoa; Chordata; Actinopteri; Cypriniformes; Cyprinidae. The record is from Ensembl.